RNAcentral lists this transfer RNA (75 nucleotides) under Thermoplasmatota archaeon. Its description in RNAcentral is "Candidatus Thermoplasmatota archaeon tRNA-Ile". It matches the Rfam family "tRNA". From Rfam's summary of the family: Transfer RNA (tRNA) molecules are approximately 80 nucleotides in length. Their secondary structure includes four short double-helical elements and three loops (D, anti-codon, and T loops). Lineage: Archaea; Methanobacteriati; Thermoplasmatota. The record is from RNAcentral.
GGGCCCAUGGCUUAGGCUGGUUAUAGCGUCCGGCUGAUAACCGGGAGGUCGGGAGUUCAAAUCUCUCUGGGCCCA